This 423-nucleotide ribosomal RNA is filed under the name uncultured bacterium. Its description in RNAcentral is "bacterial SSU rRNA". It matches the Rfam family "Bacterial small subunit ribosomal RNA", at positions 356 to 776 of the family's 1533-position model. The record is from RNAcentral.
GAGGAAUAUUGGUCAGUGGCCGGAAGGCUGAACCAGCCAUGCCGCGUGAAGGUCAGUGCCCUAUGGGCGUUAAACUUCUUUUGUGCGGGAGCAAUAAGGUCCACGUGUGGGCCGACGAGAGUACCGUACGAAUAAGCAUCGGCUAACUCCGUGCCAGCAGCCGCGGUAAUACGGGGGAUGCAAGCGUUAUCCGGAUUUAUUGGGUUUAAAGGGUGCGUAGGCUGUGAGGUAAGUCAGCGGUGAAAUGCCCCCGCUCAACGGGGUGAAGUGCCAUUGAUACUGCCUUGCUGGAAUGCGGAUGCCGUGGGAGGAAUGUGUGGUGUAGCGGUGAAAUGCAUAGAUAUCACACAGAACACCGAUUGCGAAGGCAUCUCACGAAUCCGCGAUUGACGCUGAUGCACGAAAGCGUGGGUAUCAAACAGG